Long non-coding RNA from Hyaena hyaena (striped hyena), 140 nucleotides. RefSeq lists it as uncharacterized. Lineage: Eukaryota; Metazoa; Chordata; Mammalia; Carnivora; Hyaenidae. The transcript has 4 exons. The record is from RefSeq and is a predicted model, not a curated record.
UUCAGGCUGGCACACACAUAAAAAAACAAAGGUUAAUGCUUCUUGGGGCACAUUUCUUAGAGGGCUUGCCUAGUGUGUAAAUAAUGGACUUUUGUUUGUGUUACAUGACUAGUGACUUCACUGAAAAUCUGCACAAUUCA